AUAGCCUAACGGCUGAACCAGCAACUUGGAGGAAUGUAUAGCAAUUGCUAUUUGCACUAAAGGUUUUAGUGUAAAAUCGACUUUGUCGAAUAAAAUUCUGGAUAGAAUUAUGAUAAUGACAUUACCUAUCCAUAAGUCUUGACCAAAUUACGUGCCAGCAGUCGCGGUAAUACGUAGAAGACAAGUGUUAUUCAUCUUUAAUAGGUUUAAAGGGUACUUAGACGGUAAAUAAAGCCUCCAAAAGGGACUAAUUUGCUAGAGUUUUAUAUGAAGGAGUUUUAAAGUACUACUGGUGUAGAGAUGAAAUUCAGUUAUACCUUACAUGGCACAGGUUAAGGCGAAAGCAUCUUCUUAUGUAAAAACUGACGUUGAAGGACGAAGGCUUUGUGUCUCGAACAGGAUUAGAUACCCUAGUAGUCUAAGCAGAAAAUGAUGAAUGUCAUAGAUUAGAUUUAAUUUGAUCUGUAAAUGAAAGUGUAAGCAUUCCACCUCAAGAGUAAUUUGGCAACAUUGGAACUGAAAUCAUUAGACCGUUUCUGAAACCAGUAGUGAAGUAUGUUGUUUAAUUUGAUAAUCCGCAAAAAACCUUACCACAAUUUGAAUAGAUAUAUUUUAUCAUACAAGCGUUGCACGGCUGUCUUCAGUUAAUGUCGUGAGACUUUGGUUAGUUCCAUUAAAUUAACGUAAACCCUUACUUUAUUUUUAUAUAAAGUAGUUCACCGCUAUAUUGGAU
RNAcentral lists this small RNA (733 nucleotides) under Flavoplaca marina. Its description in RNAcentral is "mitochondrial SSU rRNA". It matches the Rfam family "Bacterial small subunit ribosomal RNA", at positions 371 to 1162 of the family's 1533-position model. Lineage: Eukaryota; Fungi; Ascomycota; Lecanoromycetes; Teloschistales; Teloschistaceae. The record is from RNAcentral.